GAUGAACGCUAGCGGCAGGCCUAACACAUGCAAGUCGAGGGAGAAGCCCUUUCGGGGGCAGAAACCGGCGCACGGGUGCGUAACGCGUAUGCAACCUACCUUUCACAGGGGGAUAGCCCGAAGAAAUUUGGAUUAAUACCCCAUAAUAUUAUUGGAUAGCAUCAUUUGAUAAUUAAAACUGCGGUGGUGAAAGAUGGGCAUGCGUCCUAUUAGCUAGUUGGAGUGGUAACGGCACCCCAAGGCUACGAUAGGUAGGGGUCCUGAGAGGGAGAUCCCCCACACUGGUACUGAGACAGGGACCAGACUCCUACGGGAGGCAGCAGUGAGGAAUAUUGGUCAAUGGUCGGAAGACUGAACCAGCCAUGCCGCGUGCAGGAAGAAUGCCUUAUGGGUUGUAAACUGCUUUUAUAUGGGAAGAAUAAGGCGUACGUGUACGUUGAUGACGGUACCAUAUGAAUAAGCAUCGGCUAACUCCGUG
Molecule: ribosomal RNA, 478 nt
Filed under: uncultured bacterium
Lineage: Bacteria
Description: partial 16S ribosomal RNA
Rfam family: Bacterial small subunit ribosomal RNA
Source: RNAcentral